GCCAAUCAGAUCAACAGUUAUGAGUUUCUCCGUGUCAACGGGAACCGUGGAGACUGUCGUCAACACCAACGUGUUGGCUCCGCCCCUGAUGUGCGUUCCGUGACCGUAGCUACGUGGAACAACUGGAGCCCUACGGAUACGGCUGACGCUGAACGAAGACACCCACACACACACACUCACCAACACACCACACACACAACUUCAUUUGCAAGAUUUCCAAGAACAUCGCUCUGUCAUCAUAGAAAAAAAUGACUUGUUGCCGUGUUCAGCUGACAGGGUGCUGGUCCAGAGCUGUUGCUGGCUGCUGGGUGUACUGCUGUCUCUCUGGGGCCUGCCCCCCCAAUGACACACAUACAAACACACUUCUCACAAAAACAUCUGUAGAGUCCGAACGAAUUUGACCCAUCUAUGAAAAGCUGAGACUCCAACAAACAUGCACAUGUAACCUGUUUUACUCACUAGAAAUAAAAGAGUCGUUAGAAGGUAACGGGUUCGUUCUUCUACAGAGAAGAUCAUAGGAAAACCCAGAACAUAGUGUCUAUGAUAUUGUAAUAAGCUCACAUAUUUGCUGUCACAAACUACAAACUCCACACAGUUGUCACCGACUAGAUGGAUUUUCAUUUACCACUGAGCAUUCUUACAUACAGUACUUACAUAAUUCUUAUAAAUUCAUUGUUGUGAGGUUUUGCUUGGAGGACCUUGUUUUCUUGAUUGGCGUUUGAGAUUAAUAUAAAACUCAUGAAUGCAA
Molecule: long non-coding RNA, 748 nt
Organism: Salvelinus sp. IW2-2015
Lineage: Eukaryota; Metazoa; Chordata; Actinopteri; Salmoniformes; Salmonidae
Source: RefSeq, a predicted model, not a curated record